Vulpes vulpes (red fox) is the source of this 107-nucleotide small nuclear RNA. The record is from Ensembl. NCBI's taxonomy places the organism in Eukaryota, Metazoa, Chordata, Mammalia, Carnivora, Canidae.
GUUCUCACUUCAGCAGCAUGUGCACUAAAAGUGGAAUGAUGCAGAGGAGAUUAGCACGGCCCCUGCAUGAGGAUGACACACCAAUAUGUGAAGCGUUGCACAUUAAA